Molecule: ribosomal RNA, 600 nt
Filed under: uncultured bacterium
Lineage: Bacteria
Description: bacterial SSU rRNA
Rfam family: Bacterial small subunit ribosomal RNA (bases 1-523)
Source: RNAcentral
CCUACGGGAGGCAGCAGUGAGGAAUUUUCUGCAAUGGGCGAAAGCCUGACAGAGCAAUACCGCGUGAGGGAUGAAGACUUACUGAGUUGUAAACCUCGGUGCCUUAAGGAAGAAGAUCUGACGGUACUUAAGGUGGAAAGCAUCGGCUAACUCCGUGCCAGCAGCCGCGGUAAGACGGGGGAUGCAAGUGUUAUCCGGAAUUACUGGGCGUAAAGCGUCUGCAGGUGGUUUUAUAAGUCUGCUGUUAAAUCUGAGGCUCAACCUCAAAUCUGCAGUGGAAACUAUAAGACUUGAGUAUAGUAGGGGUAGAGGGAAUUUCCAGUGGAGCGGUGAAAUGCGUAGAUAUUGGAAAGAACACCGAUGGCGAAGGCACUCUACUGGGCUAUUACUGACACUCAGAGACGAAAGCUAGGGGAGCAAAUGGGAUUAGAUACCCCAGUAGUCCUAGCCGUAAACGAUGGAUACUCGAUGUUGGACGUAUCGACCCGUUCAGUAUCUUAGCUAACGCGUUAAGUNUCCCGCUGGGGNGUACGCGCGCAGAGAGAACGUACAAGAGUAGUAGACGNGAGAGAGCGACGACGACGACGACGGAGGAGGAGG